Molecule: ribosomal RNA, 266 nt
Filed under: uncultured bacterium
Lineage: Bacteria
Description: partial 16S ribosomal RNA
Rfam family: Bacterial small subunit ribosomal RNA
Source: RNAcentral
GUCCUAGCCGUAAACGUUGGGCACUAGGUGUGGGAGGUAUCGACCCCUUCCGUGCCGCAGCUAACGCAUUAAGUGCCCCGCCUGGGGAGUACGGCCGCAAGGUUGAAACUCAAAGGAAUUGACGGGGGCCCGCACAAGCGGUGGAGCAUGUGGUUCAAUUCGACGCAACGCGAAGAACCUUACCAGGGCUUGACAUCCUCGGAAUCCCGCCGAAAGGCGGGAGUGCCCGCAAGGGAGCCGAGAGACAGGUGGUGCAUGGCUGUCGU